GCGCUCGUAGCUCAGCUGGAUAGAGCAGCGGGUUUCUAACCCGCCGGUCGCAGGUUCGAGUCCUGCCGAGCGCA
This 74-nucleotide transfer RNA is filed under the name Nocardioidaceae bacterium. RNAcentral's name for it is "tRNA-Arg". It matches the Rfam family "tRNA". Rfam says of the family: Transfer RNA (tRNA) molecules are approximately 80 nucleotides in length. Their secondary structure includes four short double-helical elements and three loops (D, anti-codon, and T loops). The record is from RNAcentral. Lineage: Bacteria; Bacillati; Actinomycetota; Actinomycetes; Propionibacteriales; Nocardioidaceae. RNAcentral also lists the same sequence under 1 other name.